GCCUUGCAAAUCAUGAGGGAAUCCCAGGGAAAGAAAACACUCCUCGGACUGAUAGUGAGGUGAUUGUCUCUACAUACAGAUGAGAUACAUGAGACACUGAGAAAUGGAUACCACUGAGGUCAUGGCCAGGAGGUGGCAGUGCAAAGAUUCCUACCCAAGCUUCCUCAUCUGUGAACAGAACAGGAAGGCCUCGGUAAAUAGGUACAUGUUGACAAGCAACAACCUACUCAAAACUCAUCUUUUUGUAUUAAUGCAUCAUGUGACUCCCUCGUUUGGACUUCUGCAGGAACAUGUCAGAGACGGGGUCUUGCUAUGUUGCCCAGAAUGGAAUGCAGUGUCUCUUCACCGGCACCAUCCUGGCAUGCUAUAGCCUCAAACUCCUGGGCUCAAGCAUCAUCCUGCCUCAGCCUCCCAAUUAGCUGGGACUACAGCUGAGUUUUCAGUGUGGACUUUGCUUCUGAAUUGUGUCCAAGGCUCUGAGUCGGUUUUAAGACCUUACAUCUGCAUGGUGCUUUGCCGUUUAAGAAGGAAUUCCACAUUAAUCUUCAGCUCUGAUUAUUCAAGUUCAUCCCGGUUCCUGUUACAGUCACUGCUUGAAUAAAUGAAUGAACCAAAA
Molecule: long non-coding RNA, 616 nt
Filed under: Homo sapiens (human)
Lineage: Eukaryota; Metazoa; Chordata; Mammalia; Primates; Hominidae
Description: novel transcript
Source: RNAcentral